RNAcentral lists this ribosomal RNA (843 nucleotides) under uncultured bacterium. RNAcentral's name for it is "bacterial SSU rRNA". It matches the Rfam family "Bacterial small subunit ribosomal RNA", at positions 51 to 890 of the family's 1533-position model. The record is from RNAcentral.
ACACAUGCAAGUCGAACGAAGCUUGACGGAUGAUUUCUUCGGGAUGAAACCAGAUAUGACUUAGUGGCGGACGGGUGAGUAACACGUGAGCAACCUGCCUUUCAGAGGGGGAUAACGGCUGGAAACGGUCGCUAAUACCGCAUGAUGUGUUCGGAUGGCAUCAUCUGGACAUCAAAGAUUUAUCGCUGAAAGAUGGGCUCGCGUCUGAUUAGAUAGUUGGUGGGGUAACGGCCUACCAAGUCUACGAUCAGUAGCCGGACUGAGAGGUUGAACGGCCACAUUGGGACUGAGAUACGGCCCAGACUCCUACGGGAGGCAGCAGUGGGGAAUAUUGCACAAUGGGGGAAACCCUGAUGCAGCAACGCCGCGUGAAGGAUGACGGUUUUCGGAUUGUAAACUUCUUUUCUUAGUGACGAAGACAGUGACGGUAGCUAAGGAAUAAGCAUCGGCUAACUACGUGCCAGCAGCCGCGGUAAUACGUAGGAUGCAAGCGUUAUCCGGAUUUACUGGGUGUAAAGGGAGCGCAGGCGGGACUGCAAGUUGGAUGUGAAAUACCGUGGCUUAACCACGGAACUGCAUCCAAAACUGUAGUUCUUGAGUGAAGUAGAGGCAAGCGGAAUUCCGAGUGUAGCGGUGAAAUGCGUAGAUAUUCGGAGGAACACCAGUGGCGAAGGCGGCUUGCUGGGCUUUAACUGACGCUGAGGCUCGAAAGUGUGGGGAGCAAACAGGAUUAGAUACCCUGGUAGUCCACACUGUAAACGAUGAUAGCUAGGUGUGGGGGGUCUGACCCCUUCCGUGCCGGAGUUAACGCAAUAAGCUAUCCACCUGGGGAGUACGACCGCA